This 484-nucleotide ribosomal RNA is filed under the name uncultured bacterium. RNAcentral describes it as "partial 16S ribosomal RNA". It matches the Rfam family "Bacterial small subunit ribosomal RNA", at positions 30 to 507 of the family's 1533-position model. The record is from RNAcentral.
AUUGAACGCUGGCGGCAGGCCUAACACAUGCAAGUCGAGCGGAUGAAGGGAGCUUGCUCCUGGAUUCAGCGGCGGACGGGUGAGUAAUGCCUAGGAAUCUGCCUGGUAGUGGGGGAUAACGUCCGGAAACGGGCGCUAAUACCGCAUACGUCCUGAGGGAGAAAGUGGGGGAUCUUCGGACCUCACGCUAUCAGAUGAGCCUAGGUCGGAUUAGCUAGUUGGUGGGGUAAAGGCCUACCAAGGCGACGAUCCGUAACUGGUCUGAGGGGAUGAUCAGUCACACUGGAACUGUGACACGGUCCAGACUCCUACGGGAGGCAGCAGUGGGGAAUAUUGGACAAUGGGCGAAAGCCUGAUCCAGCCAUGCCGCGUGUGUGAAGAAGGUCUUCGGAUUGUAAAGCACUUUAAGUUGGGAGGAAGGGCAGUAAGUUAAUACCUUGCUGUUUUGACGUUACCAACAGAAUAAGCACCGGCUAACUUCGUG